Molecule: ribosomal RNA, 822 nt
Filed under: uncultured bacterium
Lineage: Bacteria
Description: bacterial SSU rRNA
Rfam family: Bacterial small subunit ribosomal RNA
Source: RNAcentral
AAAGCGAGCGGCGGAUGGGUGAGUAACACGUGGGGAACCUGCCCCAUAGUCUGGGUAUACCACUUGGAAACAGGUGCUAAUACCGGAUAAGAAAGCAGAUCGCAUGAUCAGCUUUUAAAAGGCGGCGUAAGCUGUCGCUAUGGGAUGGCCCCGCGGUGCAUUAGCUAGUUGGUAAGGUAAAGGCUUACCAAGGCGAUGAUGCAUAGCCGAGUUGAGAGACUGAUCGACCACAUUGGGACUGAGACACGGCCCAAACUCCUACGGGAGGCAGCAGUAGGGAAUCUUCCACAAUGGACGCAAGUCUGAUGGAGCAACGCCGCGUGAGUGAAGAAGGUUUUCGGAUCGUAAAGCUCUGUUGUUGGUGAAGAAGGAUAGAGGUAGUAACUGGCCUUUAUUUGACGGUAAUCAACCAGAAAGUCACGGCUAACUACGUGCCAGCAGCCGCGGUAAUACGUAGGUGGCAAGCGUUGUCCGGAUUUAUUGGGCGUAAAGCGAGCGCAGGCGGAAGAAUAAGUCUGAUGUGAAAGCCCUCGGCUUAACCGAGGAACUGCAUCGGAAACUGUUUUUCUUGAGUGCAGAAGAGGAGAGUGGAACUCCAUGUGUAGCGGUGGAAUGCGUAGAUAUAUGGAAGAACACCAGUGGCGAAGGCGGCUCUCUGGUCUGCAACUGACGCUGAGGCUCGAAAGCAUGGGUAGCGAACAGGAUUAGAUACCCUGGUAGUCCAUGCCGUAAACGAUGAGUGCUAAGUGUUGGGAGGUUUCCGCCUCUCAGUGCUGCAGCUAACGCAUUAAGCACUCCGCCUGGGGGAGUACGACCGCAAGG